AAAUACUUUUAAGUAUAAGGAGGAGUGCCUGGGAAUAUACAGACAUUUGGUUCAGUAGUUAAUGUAAAGAGUCCUUGAAAUGCCAGUUCUGUGAGAGACAGCGUUCAGCUGCUGGAGGAUGGGCAAGAGAGGACCCAGGCGCUGGUGGGAGGGUGAAGCACCCUCUCCAAGGGCGGCUUCCUGCGAGGAGGGGGCAGAUGACCCCAUCUCUCCACUCACAGCUUGCGUUCUCUUUCUCCCUCUACUCUGGGCACCAUCUAAAGAUGAGUUAAUGGGCAAAUCUGCCUUUAAUUAUAAAGGGCUGUAGAAGAUUUCCUUUUCAGAGCAGGGGACCCUACAUCUCCAUCCCUGGACUGAGGGAUCCUUGAUGCUCCCUCUGCAUUCCCUCUCUCCUUGCUGUGGCAGGCACCGGGUCCCCGUUUCAGGUGGUUUCCUUCCCUCCCACCUGCUGCUGGGGGAAGAGUGCCCACACUCAGCACAGCCGCGGGAGCCUGCUCUGGUCAGCAGGGCUCGCUCCUCUAACCCUGGCUGCAACACACUGGUUUGCUGUCCUCCACCAUCAAAGUCCCCGAGUGAAGCUCUGCACCCCAAGAACAUGGAGCUGAUACUGCCUGGCAAAAGGUAGCGGUGAGCAGCCACCAUCUCCCUGCCCAGGCUGUUUCAGUUGUACCCUUCCCGCCUGGUGCUGGUCUGCAGCCCACCCAUAACCCAACUGACACAUUCAAGCUGAGGUCUCUCACCAGAUGUGGCUGUUGUGGAGAGCCAUUUGAAAACUGUGGACCUGUGAAUACUGUUCCCAUUUUUUAAUGACUACAGAAGACAUCUGAGGACUCCAUGCUGCUUUUGGGAUGAAAAUUUCACCAUUGAGAAUAGAAGAUGUAGACCAUGGAAGCCUGACACUUUACAUCCCAAAUUACCACGUAUUUUGAGAUGCAGUUUGGUGGAAAGACUGUCCACAAAGCAGGGUGAAAGAAGACUUGUCUGACUUGUGUGAUGCCUUGCAGGCAAUCCCGUUUGUACCAAAUUGUUCCAUUACAACUACUCUAAACUUCUCUAACCUUUCCGCUCCCUCAUCUGGACACUCCCCUCCUUCCCACUUAGCCUCAUUUCCAAACAGCCUCUCUUUCUUCAUAUGCUUCAUGUCCAAAAACUUCUUCCACCAAGCCCAGGAGAACAAAAUGCUGGAGUGCUGCAGAUGCAUUGCAAGAGAGUUGAGAAAGAUGGGGUCCCACCAAGGGCUCAUUUGUUGAAAAAUGAGCCUGAAUAGGAAAGGCAGCUCAAGGCGACCCAGCCACGUUCUGCUGCAGAGGAGAGCAGAGAUAACAGUUCAGAGAAGGUGGCAAGAGAGGUGAGGGUGAGCCGGCUGCAGAAAGAGGGAGCGGGCUCUGCUCCUCUGCUGGCAGGGCACCAGCAGAGGAUGUGGGAGCAGCCCUCAGACACCGCUAAAUGUGCAGCUGCCCCAGCCCGGAGUUUGGUGCAAAAUGUUUGCAGAGCCCAGAGCAAAUACUCAGGUAGCUAACCCAUGAGUGCCAUGCUGUCAGGACUGCCCACUUCUGAUACCUCCCGGUGUUUGCGAGGGUCAGAUAUAUCCACACAGGCUGCAAUCUCAGCUGGCCAGCAUAGCUACCCCAUAGAUGCCUUAGGAGCCUACAUAAUUUCAGCAGAUCCCCGACUUGUCUGUGGGCCACAGCACUGAAAGAAAAGCUCAUCAGUAAUACAUGCUCCUGUUUUAUCUGCAGCAAGUCCCUUCACAUCCCACUUUUUGCAGCAGUUUGCCUUCCGCAGGGCAUUAUCAGGAGUCAGUAAAAGGCAGUCUCGCUGCUCCCCUCCAUAGUGCUGACAGCAGUGCCUGCAGCCCCUUCGGGUCUGGGGCUAAGAGAGUUCACAAGGGCGAUGCAGGCUGUUGUGAGCCAGACAGUCGGAGUUUAAUUUACUAAUAGAGAUACAAUCUAAGCGGCUACAGAUUUUCUGGGCACUUCUGCGGCUCUCCGAGCCUCUUCUGUGGCAGGGGGAGGCUGCGCUGCCUGCGCAGCAUUCACCCAAGUUUUCCAAGUGUGAAAUGUGCAGCAAAGAAAGGAACUGGGAUGCGAAAGAGUGGCAGCUGCUCCAGGGCUGUUAGAGAGGCUCUUUUACAGGCGAAUGAACCAUCAAUUUGUAGUAAGACAUUGUUUUCUAAACAUAGCAUAAAAACUGUUAUCUUGCCUGGCUGGUCAUUAGAAGAGAGAUAAUUAUAGCCUCUGUGUGACAGCCUGGCGCAGAACAGGGGCUGCAUUGUCCCAGGGUCCAGCUGAGUUCUAGCGCAGGCACCCCAGGCCAGCGCUGGGACAAGGGGGCUCCUUGUGCCCCGGCAAGUUCAAAAGAGGAAUCGAAGUGCUCUAAGUAGGUGCUAAGCACCUAUUUCGCUCUCUGACUCCGGCCUUAAAAACUACUCCACAGGAGAAAGGUGAGGAGGGCAGAGCUGUGACUGCUGUAGCUCCAUCCUCCCUGGCUUUAGAUACAACACAUACUAUGACUGUUAUUUUUCUCUCCUUAAAAAACCCCCCAAAACUCUAGGUUUGCAUUUAUUUUUGUUUUGUGUUUCUGUUUUCCAACACAGACCAAUGAGACCUGUAUGAUGGAUGGACAUUCAGAAGGAAGGACAUACUACCUGUUUAGGGUCUACUUUCUGAGCCCUGAAUGGGAGGUUUAAACCUCAGCUGCUGCUGCAGCACGCUGGAGGAGUCCUGGUGGACUCCAAGCUUCAGGGGGCCAGCACAUCCCCCAGGGCUGUCAGGAAAUCCUAGACUAUUACUUUUCACCACCCAUCCAGAAAAGAUGGUGCUUCCCCACCCCAUUGCACUGGGCCAACACGCACCUCACUGCUCCGGCAUCUGCCCAUGCCAGUCCCUCUGUGUUCAGGGAGUUCGUGUCUAUGGGUGCCACAGCGUUUUUUUUCUAUGUGUUUAGCCAAUGUGUUACACUGGAGAAGGAAUACAGUCGUAGCUGCAUAUAGUAAACUGAGCUAUCACUUUGAUUGCUCAUUUCAGCCAGGUGCCCCAAAUGACUUACCUAUCAUCAUUUAGGAGACUUUUGGUAAAACGGAGACUUAAACAUGCAUGUCCCGAGCCUUGGGUUAGCAUGUAAAGCUACUGGGCAGUAUUUGCUGUCUAGAGCUUUAUUUGUGGCUCAGAGGUGAAAAGGAAAAAGUUAAAAAUUCUCCAGGCAGACCAGGUACAGUCAAGUCUUUGAUGCUGCUGUUAUGUAAACUUCAGGUUUAUUUUUAGCAAUGUUUUCUAAAAAGCAAUGGCCAGAAAUAAUAAAUAAUUCUGUUGUUUCACGUGAAAUAAUUAGCCUGUUUUUCCAGUUUCUGUGUUCACACUGUAGCUCAGGCAGUCUCCUUUUAGAAAUAUUCCAAUUAAUCAAGUGUGACAACAGGAAGUGUAAAAAUUAAGUUCCUACUACUUCUUUGAAAGUAAGUAAGUAGCUGGGUGAAGAGGGAACACCUUGUUAAUGUCUCCACUAAAGGAAAGACUUUGGUAGGAUCUCAUUCUUAUUAGACAGAAAAGAAUCCAUAUAGGGUACCUUUCUUGCAUCCCAAGUGUGAGGAAACCUGGUUUAGCUAGUAAAACUACUUGAUUCAACCAGCCAGUGGUAAGUCAUGUGUAAGAAUACUACUAGGAAAAGAAGUGUCUUACAUAAAGUAGUGAGCAAGUUAAGAACAUAACAUUCCUACUAGAGGUGGAAGCACAAAGCAAUAUUCAGAUUUAUUGGUAGGACAGUCGAGGCUUCUUUUUUAAAAAAAUAUUUCUUAUGUCUUGCAUAACAGAAAGACAGGAAGUCUUUUCUGUAAUCCCAGUGAGAACAACCCCAGCAACUCAAAGGAUUAGAUAAAAUAUGCAAGCAAAAUAAGUCUGUUUAAAAUAAGACACUAAUUUAAUAUUCCAAAAGUAAUGUGUGUGUGUAAUACAGUUAUUUUUGCUUGAGUUCUCCUUGCAUCUCUGAAAGAGACCAGUCUUACAGCCAUGACUGUCAUUCAAGUGAUGAACUGAAUAAAGUCUGAAGAACAUGGUACUACAGAUACAAAAACCCAGAGAUAUUCUUUGAACGUAGUCAAAUACAAGGUGUUUUUAACUUUAGGAUGUAUAUGGUAAAAUACAAACUAUAAACAUAUAUGACUCCAUUGCUCUUCUCAGUCAAAUGUAUUUUUAAAGCCAUCUAAACUACUUUUUAUCUGUGUGUGCUCACUUGAUUUUGGAGUUUUGUUCAAAUUUUGGAGAGGUUAGAGGAAAAAGAAUGUGCUCCAAGGAGGAUCUGCCUCUGUAAUCUGUAAUUCUUUUAUUGCUCUGAAUGUGGUGUAGUUCCCAUAAACUCUAGGAACAAAAUAUUUACUGGGGUUCAAAGUUUGCUUGGGGCAUUUGGUUCAUGUUCAUACUAGUCUGAGAGAAAUCACAUUUUGAAGAGACUUAUCGAGACUCUAAUCUCUCCACAGAGAGCUGAAUGGCUGUGGCAGGCUUGACAAUGCUAUUCAUUUUUGGAACCUCACUAGCAAAACAAGCACUCAGCACAAAAGGAUAUAUAGCAUCUAGGCUACUGUACUGUUCAUACAUCUGUAUCUAUCAUCUAGCAAGGGAGUUCACACCAUAUAAAUACAUAUCAAUAGAAUAAUACCAUUUUCCAUUCUGUAUCUUGGGGAUUAGUAUUCCCCAGUGUCAGGUAGUGCUGAAUAAUGAUACAACACACACCUUCCUAUUGAUCAAAGAGACAAAAAGUCUUAAAAGCAAAACUGUUUUAAACCUAGGGAACAAGUUGCAUUACCUGUUACACACUAUUUGAACAGUUGGCAUAUAUAUGUCUAUUGGUGCAUGACUAACAUAUUCUUUAUUAAUACUUAACACUAUUCUUUAUCAAAUAAUUAAGCUCUUGCUGUUCAGGCAGUGAGUAUAUGUGUCCACUUUAACAGUAGGGAUUUAAUGCUUUUAUAAAUACUUAAUAAAGUAUAUAUAAUUUAAAGUACAGUUUCAUUCUACAUCUAUGUCUUCAUCUUCUUAGGUCUUUGAUCCUAUGCACACAGCUGGAAUGCUAAACAAAAAAUUACGUCCCUACAGUUUCUUAGCAGUGAAAAUAUUUAACUAUUAUCAACAGGCAAAAAAGCAACUCCCCCCUC
This is a long non-coding RNA of Aquila chrysaetos chrysaetos, 5143 nucleotides long. RefSeq lists it as uncharacterized. The transcript has 4 exons. NCBI's taxonomy places the organism in Eukaryota, Metazoa, Chordata, Aves, Accipitriformes, Accipitridae. The record is from RefSeq and is a predicted model, not a curated record.